AGUGAACGCUGGCGGUAGGCCUAACACAUGCAAGUCGAACGGCAGCACAGUAAGAGCUUGCUCUUACGGGUGGCGAGUGGCGGACGGGUGAGGAAUACAUCGGAAUCUACUUUUUCGUGGGGGAUAACGUAGGGAAACUUACGCUAAUACCGCAUACGACCUACGGGUGAAAGCAGGGGAGCUUCGGACCUUUCGCGAUUGAAUGAGCCGAUGUCGGAUUAGCUGGUUGGCGGGGUAAAGGCCCACCAAGGCGACGAUCCGUAGCUGGUCUGAGAGGAUGAUCAGCCACACUGGAACUGAGACACGGUCCAGACUCCUACGGGAGGCAGCAGUGGGGAAUAUUGCACAAUGGGCGCAAGCCUGAUCCAGCCAUACCGCGUGGGUGAAGAAGGCCUUCGGGUUGUAAAGCCCUUUUGUUGGGAAAGAAAAGCAGCAGGUUAAUACCCCGCUGUUCUGACGGUACCCAAAGAAUAAGCACCGGCUAACUUCGUG
RNAcentral lists this ribosomal RNA (492 nucleotides) under uncultured bacterium. Its description in RNAcentral is "partial 16S ribosomal RNA". It matches the Rfam family "Bacterial small subunit ribosomal RNA", at positions 29 to 507 of the family's 1533-position model. The record is from RNAcentral.